This 325-nucleotide ribosomal RNA is filed under the name uncultured eukaryote. RNAcentral's name for it is "partial 18S ribosomal RNA". It matches the Rfam family "Eukaryotic small subunit ribosomal RNA", at positions 1470 to 1796 of the family's 1831-position model. The record is from RNAcentral.
CCCUUAGAUGUUCUGGGCCGCACGCGCGCUACACUGAUGCAUCCAACGAGCCUAUCCUUGACCGACAGGUCCGGGUAAUCUUUGAAUCUGCAUCGUGACGGGGAUAGAUUAUUGCAAUUAUUAAUCUUCAACGAGGAAUGCCUAGUAGGCGCAAGUCAUCAGCUUGCGUCGAUUACGUCCCUGCCCUUUGUACACACCGCCCGUCGCUCCUACCGAUUGGGUGUGCUGGUGAAAUGUUCGGAUCGGCCGUUUGUCGCGGUUUCCGCGUCAUGUGGCUGAGAAGUUCAUUAAACCCUCCCACCUAGAGGAAGGAGAAGUCGUAACA